Molecule: long non-coding RNA, 2363 nt
Organism: Gallus gallus (chicken)
Lineage: Eukaryota; Metazoa; Chordata; Aves; Galliformes; Phasianidae
Exons: 2
Source: RefSeq, a predicted model, not a curated record
ACUGAAGUGACUUUGAUUCAGUGACUGAGGAAUCCUCUUUUGACUCCAGGUGGAAGCCUUUGGUUUCUCUGCACCCUCUACUGCCUGAAACAGCGCUGUGGGUCCUCACACCUCUCUGAGUCGAUCCUUCCCUUUCCGGAGACUGCCACCUCCUGGUGAGCACUGAGCGCGUUUCUCACGUUACUGCGCCUGCCGCUGCCCUCACGGCUAUCAUCGUUACCUCAGCACGCCCAGCUGCAGAUCCCAGCACGCAGCGCCGGACCGCACUGCAAGCAGCGAACCCUUCCUGGCCCAGCGAUCCUUCCCAACAACUCUGACUGCAGCCGAACCCCGCCGAGGAGCCGCGCUUCCAUACGGGGCUGUUCUCUAUUCAUUUCUAGUUCGUUUUUACAGAUUUUGACUGGGUGAGCUGAGUGCAUGAAGCACUCGUGCAAAAGCAGUUAAGCUUCUGUCCUCUGGCCGUCAUACACAAAUACGUGGAAAAAGAUAAAUACUCAGUGCAAAUGCAACCCACUGUACUGAGAAGUUACAAUCUGCACUACGUUCAGGAGUUGGUAUAGGACUCUCUUAAGCAGAGGCCCAGUUUGAAGCGCAGCCAUCAGUCUUUGAUGGCUCUGCUUUUACUCCCUGCAUACAGAGCACACCUCAAGUUGGAGCUACCUGAGAUUACAGAGCUCACCUCCACCCUCACUGGCUCUGAAGCACUGAGCAAUCACAUUAUUCAGUCUGCGGUAAUACCCCUUGGUUCCUCCAGCUGUUCAUGCUGCUGUUUGCAUUCCUGCAUGCAGUGGUAGCACAAAGCAAGGCUUCAGAAAACACCCUCUGAAUUUUGGGCAGCCCAUUCCUUCAUUUUGAUGUCAACUCUGUAUUAUUUAUUAGCUCAGUUUCAUGAGGCAGAAUUUUUCCUUCUAAUACAGAGCAGUGCUUGAAAAUUUGUAAUCUACCUUUGUAUUUUCUUCUGAGCAGCAGAAAAAAGAACAACCCAAACAGCAGCCAAUCCUUAACGCCCACAGACAGCAGCAUUCCAGCUCUGGAGCGCGGUAGAACCGACUGCCUCAGCUGCAUGGCCACAGCAAGAACAGCAAUGAUUCCUUCUGUUUCCAGGAGAGGAGACGACAGAAGGGAAAUACAAAUCUUUUUCCAGUAUAAGGGCUGGAAGGAACUGCAAAUAAGCCUUUAAGAACAAUGCAAAACCAGCUAUAUUACAUCAUCACCUGGGCCUUUCAAUGAAAGGAAAGUAGUAGUGAUGGCCUGAGAAGAAUAACCCCCUCCUAUUCUUUCCUGAUGAGGCUGUACUGUGACAUGGUUUGUCAGUUAGGAACAGCCAUUUGCUUGAAACCAGGUAAGACAAAUGUGGUUUGUCCAUCACCCUCCUCUCCAGCACAUCCAACAGACAACACAUGCAUUUGGCCUCUCCCAGCCAACCAGAGGCAGUGCAUUAAGAGGCCUCUCUCACACCGGGUCACAGCAAACGUGCACUCUUACCCAACUGUAGGCGAAAAAGACUUCAGUUCUUUCGCUCCAGGUCCAGGAAGGCCAAACAACAAACAUUUGUUGUCCCCCAUCUACACUUACCUGCUUGGUAUUGUCCACAGCAAACUUAAGACAACUGCUAUGAAAUAAUAUCUCUGUGAAAAAGCAACCUCAAUUUUAUCAGGACACGUAAGACCAACCGGAAGCACGAGAUGCUCUGGACCCAACUUCCCACCUUUCUGUGGCACUCAGGGCAGACAUACACCAAAAUAACAUUUCCCCAUACCGCAGAACUGCCGCCUCCAUUUCUGGUUCUCAACAGGCAACUUUAAACCAAGAAUAAAACCAACAACUGCCUUCCCAUUUGUACAACAGCUUCCUAAGAACCGUGACAGCCCCUAGAAGAAUAGUACAGAAAAUAGCUAUUUUUCCACUGUCUUUAUUGGUAAGAGUGGGUGGAAAUUGUGACAACUGUCUUCACAUAACCAUCGCUUCCUCUCUGAGAUGUUUGGAUGGCUACCCCAAGCGACCACACGUUUGGUAAGAGCACGAAUGGUUACAGACUUUUUAACUGAAAGGAAAAGGAAAAAAAAAAAAGGAAAAAGAAAACCACAACCACACUUUUUUUGUCAACAUGUAAUGCCCUGGGUUUAUUUUGUGAGAGUUCUGUCACAAUUUUUCCAGGUGGGAUUAAAAACCUUAAGGAUAAUGUAUGCCAUUGGAGUGGGCAUUCAGACUUCGGUACUGACAAAGCACUAAUAGUAGUCUGUUAAGUACCAUUCUCUUCACAGAAGAGAGGUCAAAUAUUUCCAAAGGAAGGCACCCGAUAGUUGUGGUUCUGGCCUUGCAGCCUUCUGGAGAAUCUUAAAAGGAAAAAAGCUGGCUGUUUU